This 262-nucleotide ribosomal RNA is filed under the name uncultured bacterium. Its description in RNAcentral is "partial 16S ribosomal RNA". It matches the Rfam family "Bacterial small subunit ribosomal RNA", at positions 524 to 784 of the family's 1533-position model. The record is from RNAcentral.
UACGUAGGGUGCAAGCGUUGUCCGGAAUUAUUGGGCGUAAAGAGCUCGUAGGCGGUUCGAUAAGUCGGGUGUGAAACCUCCAGGCUCAACCUGGAGACGCCACCCGAUACUGUCGUGACUAGAGUCCAGUAGGGGAGCGUGGAAUUCCUGGUGUAGCGGUGAAAUGCGCAGAUAUCAGGAGGAACACCAGCGGCGAAGGCGGCGCUCUGGGCUGGAACUGACGCUGAGGAGCGAAAGCGUGGGGAGCGAACAGGAUUAGAUA